AUAAGAACACAUGAGAAAAGUUGUAUUCAUUUUACUCCAAAGAAUUCCUAUGAAAAUAUAGUAUGCAAGUUGAUUUAAAUGUGAUAAACACAACACGAAUUAAAAGGAAGAAAUCGUGGGCAAAAGUAACAUGGAUAGGAAAGG
This is a long non-coding RNA of Centruroides sculpturatus (bark scorpion), 144 nucleotides long. RefSeq lists it as uncharacterized. The transcript is spliced from 2 exons. Lineage: Eukaryota; Metazoa; Arthropoda; Arachnida; Scorpiones; Buthidae. The record is from RefSeq and is a predicted model, not a curated record.